Molecule: ribosomal RNA, 253 nt
Filed under: uncultured bacterium
Lineage: Bacteria
Description: partial 16S ribosomal RNA
Rfam family: Bacterial small subunit ribosomal RNA
Source: RNAcentral
UACGUAGGGUGCAGGCGUUAAUCGGAAUUACUGGGCGUAAAGCGUGCGCAGGCGGUUUGCUAAGACAGGUGUGAAAUCCCCGGGCUUAACCUGGGAACUGCGCUUGUAACUGGCAAGCUUGAGUGUGGCAGAGGGGGGUGGAAUCCCACGUGUAGCAGUGAAAUGCGUAGAGAUGUGGAGGAACACCGAUGGCGAAGGCAGCCCCCUGGGCUAACACUGACGCUCAUGCACGAAAGCGUGGGGAGCAAACAGG